Molecule: long non-coding RNA, 7050 nt
Organism: Passer domesticus (house sparrow)
Lineage: Eukaryota; Metazoa; Chordata; Aves; Passeriformes; Passeridae
Exons: 3
Source: RefSeq, a predicted model, not a curated record
CUGGCUCCUCCCAAAGGAAAAAUAAAAAUCUCAUGAUGUUUUUGAAACACAAAAAUAAAUUAGUAGUUACAGUUAUAUGAGAGAAAAGAUAAAAUAAGAACAGUCUUGUUGACUCUCUACACAAUGAAGGUUACAAACUCUGCUCCCACACUCCACCAAAGGACUGACAGUUACCAUAAGCAUGUUGGGAAAGCCCUUUAUUCCAGCUAGAGAGCUACUAAGUCAGAGAAAUGUGUAAAGCACACCUUUUUAACAGGCUAUCAAUCCCCCAACUAAAUAAGCGUAUUUCAAAUUAUUAGACAAUAUUUUCCAAUUUUGAUUAUUGAAAGAUUAUUGAAGAUUAUUGAAAGCUGGUGACAAGGGGACAUCAGAAUUUAAAUGUGAAUGUUCCACUUUGCAGAAAUGAGCGGUUUCAUUAAUUUUAUACUCUGCAGUACAAAAAUGAAACAGAACCAACAAAGCCUUGAUGAUAGGACUUGACAUUUUAAAAGCAGUAUUUCUGAAAGUGAAAGGGCCCCCAGAAGACCUCUGAUUAGCCAGCUCAUGAUCAAGAAACUCUGGAAUAAAUAACUCUGCAAUUGCCAGGGAAUCUAUAAUUAACUAUGGGUAAGGGAAUUAGAGUUGGAAGUUACUGUGAUAGUUGCAAAGUUUCUGAUAUGAUAAAUGAGGAAGAGGAAUGAAAUUUGAGAAAAUGCUCCAGACCCUAACCAAUCAUCAUUAUUAGUGGCAUCUCAUGUCUGAACUCUAUGAAUAAAGCAAUUCACAAGCUGUGAGGUUAGGGUCUGAUGUACAGUUGAUAGGUUUAUUGUACAUAAUUUAGGAGAUCUUAAAAAGGCAUGAAAAAAAGUUGAUGAAAGAAGUUGCACUGCCUGGGAAAUGGAGACCCAAAUCAAGUUAUAAUUUAACUGACUUUCCAAGUGGGAAGGUAAACCUACAUUUGGAAAUUAGCAUGUCUAAGGAUCACUGUAUCUCAGAGAUUAUUCCUUUUGAGGCAAGAGAAAACAGAUUUCAUUUGCAUUCAUCUAAACAACUCUGGUCAAAACUGCCAUACUAUAUAUUGGAAUUGCCCCUAAAUUAAAGGAAGCAAGGGAAGGGCAAUGGUCCAAAAAAAUGUUCUGAGGUUUAGCCUCUCUCACAGUUGGGAAUUCCCUCAUGCUUUGGGCAGGGGCAGGAAAAACCCAGCGGAGAAGUAGAUCCUGAUCCUGAUCCUGUACUGGCUCCUUGAUUCCCUGAGGCAAGCUGUGAGUGACUGCCAGAACAAUUUACACAGUGCUGCAGCUCUGCCAUGGAUACAACAAAUCACAGGGAAGGAGGGGCGAGGUAGAAGAACAGGUGGAACUCCAAGACAGUCAAAUUAGGGUGCCACAGGGAACCGCAGAGUGUACAGCUGCCAGGAGAAGCUAAGUCUGUAGCACUGCUUGGAAAGCAGGAGACCAGCAGUGAGAUGCCCGAAUUACUUGGAGAUACUAAUCUACUUUCAGCUGAUAUAUUUCUUGGGCAUUCGUCUCUUCAACGUGGAGAACUUGCUGCAAGCAACCUGUUGUAUAUAUUCAGUAAUUAUGGCACUUUCAGGAAAUUGCUGUGUCCUGCAGCAAAGGAUGGAGUGCAGUAUAUGGGCCUCUCCUUUCUUUUGAGGACAUUGUAGCAUGUCAAAAGCAGGCAGCUCUACUGCAGAGCAUGCCUCUCACAGGAGUACAACAGAGCUGAGUCCUUUGUGCUUGUUUGGUAGAAAUUGUGGAUGGUCUUGGACCAAAUGAGACUGUGAGUGGCAGUGCAACAGCAAGAGGAGAAAUGUUAAUGACCAGAACAUGUGGGGACUCAGGGAGAAACACAUAUUUCAACUUCUACUCAAACCUUGUCAUACAGCUGUGUGGUUCUCCUUGUAUCAUGCUCCAUUACAUGCAGAAUCUUAAUGAUCACUGAAGUUUAAAGUAACAAAAAGAAGUUAUAUUCCAUUUUCAAACACAUUUAACUCAAAGGCCAAACCCAACAGCUUCUGAAUUCUAGUGACAAAAUUACAAGAAAGCCCUGUGUGAACUAUGAUGUAGGUAGGAAUGUUUGACUAAAGACAAAGUCUGGGGGUUUUGUUCUCCAAAAGCAAAACAAAGGACUGUGCACUCAAAGUACAAGGAAGUCAGUGAAGCUGAAACCACUGGGGGUGAAGUGUCCACUCAUCCAGCAUUUUCAGAUUUAGAGGACAGGGCAAUUUAGUAAACCCCAGAGAAGAGAAGACAGAAUCAUAGAUGAAUUCUUGCAGAUUAGGAAUCAUGCCUGACUGACUGCAGGAGCAAGAGAAGUAAAACACAGAGCCCCAAACCACUGUCAAAGCUGACAUACUUUUGAGAAGUGACAUAAAAAUCCCAGAGAAAGAGGGACGGGUAUGUGGCUUGGGGGCAUCUACUGUUCUUUCAGAAUAUUGGAAAGGUGCAGAAAAGUCUAGACACCUCAAUCGACUUACUGAAGCAUUUGAUAAAUUUUAUUUUGGGGGACAGUACAUGCAUCUAAUUUUCUGUUGCUUGAACACUCAUAAGCUAUUGGUCAGAAGAGUUUAAAAAGCAAAUUAUGCAGAAGUAGUCCAAGCAAAAUAUUUUUUGACUCCCUUAGCUUUUUUUUUGUGGUGGGUAAAGAAUCAGAAUGUAGUCAGAAUGAGACUAUCAUAAAUCCUUAUUUAACUAAACAUAGGAGCCUUCAUCAAAAAGUAUGAGAUAGAAGAGAAAUUUUAUUUGGUUCCAAGAGAGAAUCUCACUGGGGUAGUUGUCUCCUCGGUCACUACAGCCUAUACUGUAACAACAGGAAUUACUUUUCAGGCUGCUGCACCAUAGCAGAUUUUGACUAGAAUUUGGAGAGGGACAAAUAAUGGGACUGAUCAUGUUCCCAUUAAAAUCUUCCAUAUAAUUUCUACUAUUUCAGAAAAAGUAAAAUCACUUUGAAGACAUCUCUAGUAGCAUUUAAAGAAUUGCUUUCACACCUAGUUCUAUGCCAUUUAAUUCUGUUGAUUGCAGAGGGGCAAUAUACGUUUUUCAGUCUUAAAAAUAAAAACAGAAUCAGGUCAACUUGUCUUUUUUUAAAUUAAUGAUUCAUUGUCUUCGCCUAGGGACUUACCAUAGUUGAGGCCCACAAGCACUGCUGCUAAAGCCACAGCAGAGAGGCAGUGAUUAUGUAUUAGGCCUUUAGGUCCAUGGCAUCAGUAGAUUAUCAAUGCUUCUACCUCCAGAGCUUUCAGACAGACCUUCAUCUCUGGAAAGCACAGUUGCACUUACCCACAUUAUUUUCAAAAUUGAUUUCAAAGGAUUCUGAAAAACAUAAUCUGAACACACAUUUAAUAAGACAUAAAAACAAAUUAAGGCAACUAUUGAAGAAGCAUAUCUGUCUCUGUAGUUAAAGCCUACUAAAUUAAAUUUUAAAGAAUUCACUCAGACUGGAAAUCAUAUCACUGUGUGUGGGCACAGAAGAAGGCUCAGUAAAUUCUGGCUCAGUGGGUGAGUCAGCAUGAGUCAUCAGCAGACAUACCAUCCUAUGGUUAUAUGAAUCCACAAGGUACAUUUAGAAACAUGUCACAGUAACAAAAUAACACCAUCCUCCUGCUUUUUGUCUAGAUGACAACAAUGACAGCCCCGACUUUCCUAAAAUAUUGUAGGAGUUCUCAGCUCAACAUGUGGGGCUAGGAAAAAAAAAAUCCCUCUGUUUUGCUAUUUUCAUUAAGCAAAGCUAACACAGAUAUGAUAAGCUGGUAGGAAAACCUCAGGUUGUAAAUAAAAUCAUUUAGGUAGUUGCAUUACACUGACAAACAACUGAGCAACAUCUGCUUAUCAGGUGGAUUUCUCAUCACUUGAUUGAACCGUGAGGAGGUUUUUUUCCUCUUCCAACCUUAAUUGUUUCCAUCACUCAGAAUUUCAAGUGGGUAAUAAGAUGCUAUGACAAAUGAAGUUAUGUAGCUGACAUCACCAUCUGUGUAAUAAGCAAAAUCGUGUCAAUUUUGUUCUGAAGGAGUUUUUAAUUGUGGCAUUCACUGAAAGACUCUGAAUGCAAACUAGAUGAGCAUUUGUAAGGCUGAAACUAUGGUUGUUUUCUUGUCUUUUACUUGUCUUAAUUUCCAGGGGAAAGUUAAAUUGUGUACUCUGUAUUUCAUUUUCCCCUGAAACAGAUUUAAUUUUCUUCCAGCCUGCCAUUUUAUAUAGGAUAUAUAAUUACCCAAAAUACCCCAACUUGUACAGCAAUACAGGAAAAGCACUCCUUCUCAUAUGAAUUUUUGGAACUUUAAUAUAUAGGUUGUCUUUAAUUUUGCUAAAGAUUAGGGACAUUUCACCAGUCCUAUGUCUGCACUUAGGAUGUAGUGAAUGGACUAGAAUUGCUCAUGGGCAUAUCUAUACACAGCUAUUUGACUGCCUGACCACCUCGCAGCCCAGUCUGGAAACCCAGUUCCCUGCCACGAUUAGUCAUCCACUUGGAUCCCACUUACUGCAGUGAUGCCACACAGAUGCAGCCAGAUUCACAUCAGUUAAUCUAGUUACAGAACAGAGGCCCUGGUUCUAUCAGAUAUGGUAAAAUCUGUGUAAAUAGAAAUGGCUUAACCUCUUGGUUUAGGCUGCAGACCCUUGUUUCUCGCUCUCCCAGCAGCGUGGCAAAUGCAUUCUGAAUUUGUUCUUUCAUUAUUCCAAAGUGAAGAAUGAAGAGUGUUUCCUGGAUUUAUUCCUAUUAUGUUUUUGUUCACCAACUCCUUUCCAGGAUUAUAGUUGUCUCUACAUCAUGUACUUACUAUUUCAGGCAAUUAGUGCUGCUCUUCAUUUGCUAUUAUAUUCUAGUAGGCUUAGUAAAAACUUGGAUUUGUUUGGACUUUUUUUAAUUCUGUGAAUUACGUAUUAACUCCAUCCACUGCAUAAAGGAGGGUACCCUUGGCAGUGCAGCUGACUCUGCCUGUUUUUAUAAGGCUUCAGCCACAGCUGGAACUUUUCUGCUGGGGCCUUGGGCCCCACUGAACGGAGGAGUGAAUGUUGGUGUCAUUAGAACAGGUAACCUUUAGGCACACCGUGCAGAAGAACGCAGGCCCCUUGAAGGCUUUGCAAGAAGCUCUGUGGGCAGAGUGGCUUUUGAGCAUCAAAGGCACCAUAAUGUUGGACUUGGCCUUCCAGGCUGUACGUAGAGCCACAAGGACAAACUCAGAGUCCCAUUUACCAAACUUCAGUGCUGUUUACUCACUGGGCAGGCAGGGUUGCCAAAUCCCCACACACAGCCCAAAGGUUUCAGCACCUAACCCAGGCUGUAAAUGAGAUCAGUUAGCAACAUAUCUGUUAAUGUCCAGCAUGCCACUAAAAAAAGCUCGAAAAGAAAAUCAGAAAUACUUUUCUUCUUUUCUUCAAGCAUGGUCACUCAAUAAUGCUAUUUAGUGAUGGCUUUACUACAAACAUUUUAGUAAAAAUCAAAUCUUGCAGGACAUUGCUGCUUUUUGACUGUAAACAGGGGAGAGUGAAAAAUAUUUUCUCCCAUAAAACUCAUUAUCAUACAUAUACAUAGAUGCAUAUAUAUAUAUAUAUAUAUAUGCAAUACACCCUUAUGCACAUACAUGCAUGUAUCUUUUUGGAAUAUAUUCUCAGCUUGUAGUCUUUCCACAGAGAGUAGAUCGUCAAUCUGCUUCAUAUAUUUUAAGCUGCAUUUUAUACAAAAAUGUAAAGUGGUGUCUAUUUUAGUAAACUCAUUAUCAAAUGUUGCUGGAAGCAACACUCAGUCUUCUGAUAGAUUGCUCUUUCUUCAGUUUUCCUUACAGUUAAAGUGGGUUGAUGAACACUAGAUUAAAUUAUCAAAAACGAGGCAAAAUUCUAAUUUCCUUAUGCUUUCUAUCAGCUAUUGAAAUUAACAUUUUCUGUAAUUUUGGGGAGUUUAUUUCCAAACUUGCUAUGUAUAGGAGAAAUCCACUUUGGUAACCAUACAACAGAUUCAGAACAAAGGAUUUUUCAAAGAUUAUUUAAUAUUUAACUGCAGGAGAUGACAUAACAAACAAUAAUUCUUGAGUUACCUUUGAAAAAGGAUCUCUCUGCCAGCACAGGCCACCACAACCUAGAGGAGGCACAUGGAAUUUCCUUUUCUUUCACCACAAUCUUUCCCAGGAGAAAUAUCAAAACUGGAGUUCACAGACUCACACCUAAAAACUUCCAGUCAUACCUCCAGAGACAGAGCCCUUGUGAGUGAGUAAUCCAGUGAGUAGGCCUGCAAGAGGGAAAACCACAGGUUUAUUUAUCUCCUUUCUGCCCUUCUGCAUUUAAGAGCAAAUCCUUUGGCCACGUGGAAGAGCCACUGUCCCAGCUCAGCAUCUCAUCAGUGGAGGCCCCCAAGUGCUCUGACAAUCUCUGCUCACUCCCAUUGAGGCUGCCUGGAAGGGUGGGAGGGCUUCAUGUCCAGGUUUUUGGUGUAUUUUGGGGUAAGAGCUCACUUCAGCUCCACUGCCAUGGAAUCUGGCCUGCAAAAGCAUCUCAGGACCUCAGUCCCCUUAGCCCACACACAGAGGUGUGAACAGGGAAACUCCAGCUGCCGUGACUGACUAGCAGCAUGACAGUGGAAGUGUUCAAGAAGGCCUACUCCGAGGGGCUGGAAUGCUUUUCCUUAAAAUUCUUUAUAGCCUGUCUAGUGUUCUUCUGAUUAAGUAACUCCUAAAUGCACUUCUGAUGUCACUCUCUGUCUAAAUAGACAGUGGAUGAAUUCAGCUAAGGAAAUGUGUGCUUGUUCUGUAUCCUUGUAUUCUGUGUUCUUGCUGGAAAGGGACUAGUAAAGGCUUUCUAUUUCUAUUCUAGCAACAGGCAGAUUUUCUAAAAUGAAACUGCUGAGUAAUCUUGGUAAUUUUCCAGUACAUGCUGCUUCAUUUAAUAUAGUUUAGGACAUCUUUUUUAUGGCUGUAGCAUUUAGGUAAUCAAACACUGUGAGCUGUGCCAUGCAGACCUACUGAUACAUUUGAUAAAUUGGAUGUCAACAUCAGGCGCAAAAGCUGAUGUUUCAAAUAAAGAAAGAAAGAGAGAAUGAAUGGAAAAAGGAAAAGAGGGAAGUAAGCUCCAGAGAAAAUGA